RNAcentral lists this unclassified non-coding RNA (3282 nucleotides) under Daphnia pulex (common water flea). RNAcentral describes it as "pAN2-PAN3 deadenylation complex catalytic subunit PAN2-like, transcript variant X1". Lineage: Eukaryota; Metazoa; Arthropoda; Branchiopoda; Diplostraca; Daphniidae. The record is from RNAcentral.
GGUGGCACUUUACAGCAAAACGAAACGAAAUGUCUUGAAGUUGAAAGAUGGAUUUCAAUGUUGGCGUUUUUUCAGAGAAAUCUUCGAUUUUAAUUGAUGGUGGAGAUAGAUUUGGUGUGUCCGCAAUUCAUUGGGACCUUCAGGAAGAGCUGCUUUGGGUUGGUAAUCAAGGAGGACAUGUCACUAGUUAUUAUGGCUCUUCUCUACACAAAUACACAUCAUUCCAAGUUCAUGCAUCUCAAGAAGUCAGACAGAUGAUUUCUUUUGAUGCUGGUUUACUUAUAGUAACCCCAAACACUCUUAGAUGCCAACAAAGGAGAGGUGUCCCAUUAUUCACUUACAGCUCAAGUACUUGUGAAGAUCUACAAUGCUUGUUACAAACAGGGCCCACAACAGUUCUACUUGGAGGACACCAACCGCUGGUAGUAGAAUUUGACCUUGUGACAGCGAAGGAAACAACAAAAUUUGAUGUAGGAGAAAAGGGAUGUGCAAUUCUGAGACGACACCCUAGAUUUAUCUGCUCAGGUGACGCUAGUGGAUGCGUAUCAUUAAGAGAUCCUCGAACUUUACGUGAAGAGCAUAAAUUUGUAGCACAUACUGAAAGCCUUUCAGAUUUUGAUGUUCAUAACAACUUGAUUGUGACUUGUGGGUUUUCAUCCAGGCAGGGAGGUGUGGUUUCGGAUCGCUUUUUGAAAAUUUACGAUGUUAGAAUGUUACGAGCUCUCAGUCCAGUUCCUGUGGUCGGAGAACCAUUUCUAUUGCGGUUCUUACCAGCAUUCUCGUCCCAAUUGGCGGUUAUCUCUGCCAUGGGACAGUUACAGGUUCUUGAUGCAGCUGCUCCUGCAUCUUCAGCUCUUCAACUUUUCCAAGUGAAUAACGAGGGUGCUAUGUGCAUGGCUCUUGAAGUUUCAUCUUCUUGCCAAUGCUUAGCUGUGGGGGAUGCCGGUGGAUAUGUUCACACCUUUGCAUCAAACGCAUCAGCUUUAUUUAACAGCUUUUCUCGACCGACGGAAUUUGCCGAUCCAGUAGAAUCCCUUCCGGUUUCGAUCGCCAUGGACGAUACUACGACGCCACUCACUUCAAUCCCUUUCCCCUUAGAACACAAUUCGCCGCUGCUAUCAGAUUGGCCGGAACAGUUUACCCGCAGGAGAUUCCGUAAAGUUCCACCUAUUGAUCAUGCUAUUCUGUCAAAUAUGCGCAUGGUAGGCACUAUUGGUUAUGCUCCAAGUCCAGCUGAUCAUAGACCUAAUCAAGUGGCCUACUCAGCCGAAAAACGAACACAACGUGGUCAGAAACAUUCGGGAACGGAUUCAACACAUUCAAAGGAAGAUACUGAAUGCUAUCAAGUGUGGAAACGAUAUCGUCAUAUCGAGAUGAGGUACACAAAGGGUGGCCUUGACGAAAAUGAGUUAGCUCGUUACAAUUCCACGCCCCUCUGCGGUUUGGAUAAUACACUUCCUUAUUCAUAUGCAAACUCUUUGCUGCAGGUGUUAUAUUUCAUUCCGGAAUUACGUCAUUGUCUUCUUGAGCAUUCCUGCAACCGAGAAUUUUGUCUUGCCUGUGAGCUGUCAUUCCUUUUUCAUAUGCUGGAUGUUGGUAGAAAUCAAGAUCCUACUAGUACUCCAGUUACAGUCCAACCAUCUAAUUUUCUUCGGGCUUUCCGCACUCUUCCCGAAGCUUCGGCAAUGGGACUGUUGAUGGCAGAAAAUCAUCCUGAAAUAAAGAUAAAAAGUACACUUCCUAGGCUUGCUCAGAGCUGGGCUCGUUUUAUUCUUCAACAACUUAGCAGCGAAACCUUGCCUCAAAGCAAGAUAACAAAAGAAUCGACCACAAUUACAAGUAAUUUAGUAGAAUUUAACGGAGAAGGUACGGAAAAUUCUAUUAAACCGGAAAGAGAUGUUUCACCUUCUGAGGAUGGUCUGUCACCAGUGUCUCCUAUCUCUAAACUGUUUGGUGUUGAACAAGAGCAGAUUAGCCGCUGCACAAAAUGUGGAAGCGAAAAUUCUAAAACUUCGCCUGUGCUUCUCUCUUCCCUUACUCUGCAAGAUGUGGAGGAUGAACACAGCUUCGAACAUGUACUUGAAAAGAGUUUUGACGUAGCAAGUGUGACUCCGGCCUGGUGUGAAGUUUGUCAAAAAUAUCAAGCAACUCAGCAAAGAAGACGUUGUCUAACAUUACCGCCAGUUCUUGCUCUGUCCUGUGCUAACGAUACCUAUAAAGGUUUUCGAUUUUGGUCAGAUCAACUACAAUGUUUUUUAGACCCUGAACUAUUCGAUGGAUCAGAUUUGACAGAAGGGGCGUCCGUCCAGUCUGGGCAAGGAAAGCCUUGUAGAUAUGGGCUUGAAUGCACACGGCCGAACUGUAAGUUUGGACACGGAGGACAACCUUUGAGGCAUAGUGCAAGCUUUACAGGAAUAUCUUCAAAUCAUUGGGUCCCGUCUCAGCUCCGUUUUAAAGUUCAACCGGAAGGAGGACUUGUUUGUCUGAAACCCGAUCAAAAUCAGGAAGGGUUUUUAUCGUAUUCUCUUGUUGCUGCGGUAUGUUGGAUUGACGAAUCCAAACUGGAUGCAAAACACCAUGGAAAAUGGCACUUAGUUUCAACAAUUCAAAUUCCUCCUGGUUAUUUAUCUUCAGAAACUUCUCCAGAAGAGAACAACUCCAGCAAUUGGUACGUCUUUAAUGAUUUUGCUGUUAAUCCUAUCAACCCGGACGAGGCAAUUUCUUUUUUUCCUGAUUGGAAACUUCCGUGUCUCUUGUUUUAUUCAAAGAAUGAAACAACAAAUUGUUCCAUCUUAACUGAUCGACCUUUAAGCAAUCCAAUCACUGCUGACGUGUUUAAAGAGGACAAAUCGUUGGCUCAGAAAUCGGAGUGCUUGCAAAGAAUAUCAUUUCUUCCGCUGGCGACGGACGAGAUGCCCGGAAAUGGGGAUUUAGUGGCCAUGGACGCCGAAUUCGUCACGCUGAAUCAAGAAGAAGCCGAAUUGCGCAGCGACGGGAAAUCAACCACUGUACGACCAAGUCAAAUGUCGGUUGCUCGCGUCACUGUUAUCAGAGGGUAAAAGCUAUUGAACUUGCAACAUAUUCUUCAACUUCAUAUUUCGUGUCAACACUACCUAAAUGUGGUUAUUGGGCUAUAAGCUUGGCUUCGCAGCAACGGUUUAUCUUGGACGAGUAUUGAAUAUUCGAGUCAAGGUAACAUGGAAGGGUUACCUUUUAUCGACGACUACAUCGCCACUCAAGAUCAAGUAGUUGACUACUUGACGAAAUUUUCUGGGAUCCAGC